UAGAGUUUGAUCAUGGCUCAGGAUGAACGCURGRCGGCGUGCCUAAUACAUGCAAGUCGAGCGAACAGAUGAGAAGCUUGCUUUCUGAUGUUAGCGGCGGACGGGUGAGUAACACGUGGGUAACCUACCUAUAAGACUGGGAUAACUCCGGGAACCGGGGCUAAUACCGGAUAAUAUUUUGAACCGCAUGGUUCAAUAGUGAAAGACGGUUUCGGCUGUCACUUAUAGAUGRACCCGCGCCGUAUUAGCUAGUUGGUAAGGUAACGGCUUACCAAGGCGACGAUACGUAGCCGACCUGAGAGGGUGAUCGGCCACACUGGAACUGAGACACGGUCCAGACUCCUACGGGAGGCAGCAGUAGGGAAUCUUCCGCAAUGGGCGAAAGCCUGACGGAGCAACGCCGCUGAGUGAUGAAGGUCUUCGGAUGUAAAACUCGUUGUUAGGGAAGAACAAAUUUGUUAGUAACUGAACAAGUCUUGACGGUACCUAACCAGAAAGCCACGGCUAACUACGUGCCAGCAGCCGCGGUAAUACGUAGGUGGCAAGCGUUAUCCGGAAUUAUUGGGGUAAAGCGCGGUAGGCGGUUUUUAAGUUGAUGUGAAAGCCCACGGCUCAACCGUGGAGGGUCAUUGGAAACUGGGAAACUGAGUCAGAAGAGGAGAGUGGAAUUCCAUGUGUAGCGGUGAAAUGCCAGAGAUAUGGAGGACACCAGUGGGAAGGCGGCUUUGGUCUGUAACUGCGCUGAUGUGCGAAACGUGGGGAUCAACAGGAUUAGAUCCCUGGUAGUCCACCCGUAACGAUGAGUGCUAAGUGUUAGGGGGUUUCCGCCCCUUAGUGCUGCAGCUAACGCAUUAAGCACUCCGCCCG
This 867-nucleotide ribosomal RNA is filed under the name Mammaliicoccus sciuri. RNAcentral's name for it is "bacterial SSU rRNA". The record is from RNAcentral. Lineage: Bacteria; Bacillati; Bacillota; Bacilli; Caryophanales; Staphylococcaceae.